This 93-nucleotide small nuclear RNA is filed under the name Nannospalax galili (Upper Galilee mountains blind mole rat). Lineage: Eukaryota; Metazoa; Chordata; Mammalia; Rodentia; Spalacidae. The record is from RNAcentral.
GUGUUGGCUUUGGCAGCACAUAUACUAAAACUGGAAUGGUACAGAGAAGAUUAGCGUGGUGACACGCAAAUUCAUGAAGUGUUCCAUAAUAAA